Long non-coding RNA from Humulus lupulus (European hop), 1879 nucleotides. RefSeq lists it as uncharacterized. NCBI's taxonomy places the organism in Eukaryota, Viridiplantae, Streptophyta, Magnoliopsida, Rosales, Cannabaceae. The record is from RefSeq and is a predicted model, not a curated record. The transcript has 3 exons.
CAUGUCGUUUGCCAUUGAUUGAUUGAUGAUCCUUCAUAAGCAAAAACGCUCAAAAUUGGAGUUGAUUACUGUUCAGUGACUGUGUCGAUCUCCCCUUGUUCUAAAUUUGAUGUUUGGUCACUCGUGAUCACCAAAAUCGUACACCUUUUCAUUCAUGGGCAAUUGACGAAGAAUUUCUGAAACUUUACACCGAUUGCGUGUUUUUUUUGGAUUCGCCUCUUACUUGCGAGAAGGGCAUGGAUUGCAAGUAUGGGCGCUGUGAGAUUGCUAGGCUGAACCUCAACUCAAGGCACGCCUUUUUAAACGAGUUACUCAAUACAGUGGAUUGUUGCUGUACCGGUUGGCUAGAAGCUGUUUCAAUCCAACUGUUCUUUCAGGCAUACUGUGGCUCAUUGGAUGGGCUUCCAGCAGCAACAUCAGAAUCUGCCCCAUGUACUGAACCUGUGAUCAAGACUAUCAUUUAUUAGUUAUUUUUAUUUCAAUGGGUACUGCAAUAAAGUUGACAAAUGUCCAUUUCUGCAUAGCCUCGAGGCUGAUGUUCCACCAAUUGAGAAUUCAGUAAAACUAACAAUAGUGAAUUCUGAGGUGCUUCCAUUGGAAAAGAACACAUUUGCAGGAAGUGAUUCAGGGUUGGCACCUACUAAUGCACAUUUAAAUAUACCUGCUGCUGUAAAGGCAACAAUGAAUACUAAAGUCCAGCCAUAUGAAGAUUUUCAACCAUCUGCAUUAAAAGAUGUCGAAAACAAAAGAGAUUCCACACAGAUAUCUAUUUCUGAUUGUGAAGAGAGCCACAAUCAGGUCAAACUCCUUGUUUCCAGCAAGUCAUUCUGUUCAAAGUGAAUCUUAUGUAUGAAACUGAAGAGCACAGUUCAGGAGAUCGUGUGGAAGGCCAGCUUGGCUCAGAGGAUAGGUGGGGAUCAUCUCCAGGCCUUGCUGUCCUUGUGGAUGGAGAAUCAGAGUAUUUGGAUUGUGAGGAUGAUCAAGAGUUCUUAGUGGAACUUGAUAGGGAACGAAAGGAGUUGAACAGCCACUUCUUAGGGUGAAUUUGAAAACCCAGUGGACUAUAAUUCAAAAUACCACCACACAGAAGUUCACUAUGAAGGUGAGAUGUACUAUCCUUAUAAUGAUCAAGUCAUUGAGCACAUUUUUGAUGAUGCGACUAAUGAGGAAAUGCUCCUGUGUAUGGAAAAGCCAAAAUGUUGGAUUUCAUUUUAAGGCGGAAGAGGAAACUAAUGCAUGUGGAACUAGGAGGCUAUGAUAGCUGCAAAGGUGUAGACCUCCGGGAGAAACUAAGUAGGCGUAAGUUUGUUGGCAGCCAUUCGGUGACUGGCUUAUCAAGAAUGAGGGAAUCAAGCCGGCUGAUUAGUAGACGCCAUGAUUGGUCAUGGUGGAAAGGUAUGGAACAUAGGCAACCACAUGGAAGAUUGGCAUCAGAUGUACAUAGGAGAAGUAGUGAAUCAGUUGGUAAUGAUAGAAAUUACAUGAAUGGUGGAAGGCCUUGUGGUUUGCUUAGAUACUCACAGCAGUAUCACCCCAGGAAGCAUUUCAAGGAGAAAAGGCGUACUCAGAGGAGAUCUGAAGUCUCAAGGAAAUUGGCACCAAGGGAGCGGAGAUCUUAUACAUUUACUGGUCCUAAAACUCUUGCCCAGAUCAAGGAAGAGAAGAAAAAAGUAGAAGGAAAGUGUGAUUUCAAUGAAAAAUGGGUCACUCAAGAAAAAUGGUAUCAACAGACUUCCAAGGUCCCCAACCCCUUAGUGAAAUCCUGAAGAAGAAAAAGAAGCUGACUGGUGAAAGUGAAGCUAAUGCCAGUAGCCCCUCUACUAUGACUCUAAAUAGUUUCAAAAUAAAUCAAACUAUUCUCAAUAUAUUAAGUUUUUCA